This 323-nucleotide unclassified non-coding RNA is filed under the name soil metagenome. Its description in RNAcentral is "partial contains 5.8S ribosomal RNA, internal transcribed spacer 2, and large subunit ribosomal RNA". The stretch from base 1 to 120 matches the Rfam family "5.8S ribosomal RNA", at positions 35 to 154 of the family's 154-position model. The record is from RNAcentral.
GAUGAAGAACGUAGCGAAAUGCGAUAAGUAAUGCGAAUCGCAGAAUUCAGUGAGUCAUCGAAUCUUUGAACGCACAUUGCGCCCUGUGGUAUUCCGCAGGGCAUGCCUGUUCGAGCGUCAUUUCAACCCUCAAGCUCUGCUUGGUGUUGGGCCCUGCCCGCUGCGGCCGGCCCUAAAGACAGUGGCGGUGCCGCCUGGCCCUGAGCGUAGUACAUCUCUCGCUCCAGUGCCCGGUGGUAGCCUGCCAGAACCCCAACUCUCGUGGUUGACCUCGGAUCAGGUAGGGAUACCCGCUGAACUUAAGCAUAUCAAUAUGCGGAGGA